Long non-coding RNA from Mauremys reevesii (Reeves's turtle), 705 nucleotides. RefSeq lists it as uncharacterized. Lineage: Eukaryota; Metazoa; Chordata; Testudines; Geoemydidae. The transcript is spliced from 3 exons. The record is from RefSeq and is a predicted model, not a curated record.
GAGCACUUUUAACAAGGGAGAAGACAAUUGUAAGGGUGUUUGAGUUUUAUUUUCACCACAGGAAAUUUGAAUGGCUCCUUUGUGAACCACUUAAAGGGAUAUAUUCUGGUAUCUGGCUGUCUGACACACACACCAAUGGGAUUCAAGAUUCCUCUUAAAUAAGAUCAUAUGCAUUCCUGUAUCUCAAGGCAUUGGUCACUGUGAUUUUAUUAAUUUCCUUACAUUUUAAUCUAAAAGAAAUUCAACACCAAAAGGGCCCAAUCCAAUGCUCCAGGAGCCCUGGACAUACACUGAAAAACACAGUAAGAUAGGAACCGCAAAACACCAAUCACCCAAAGAAGCAGCGCCUUUUACUUCCACCCAGCUCUACAUCAUUUAAUCACUAGGCAUAUGACCUAUACAGCUUGAAACUCCAUUUCACUUUCUCACAAGACAAGAGUUCCUUUGAAGGUUUGACCCCACCAAGAUCUGAUCAGAAGGCUGCCUGCUAACCCCAAAGGAGGUGGUGGAAAUCCAAGUGGGAUAGCUGAAACAAAGUACUGGGGAAGAGUUAAAGCUUAAACCUUGAAGCUGAGAAGCAGAGUUUUCAGUGAAACAGACUGUUACUUGUCCCCAGAAGAGUGGAGGUAGCGGCUAUAAAUUGGGCUGAUCUGUCUUGAGGGAAAAGCUAAACUUAGCACCUGAAAUCGGCCACCUCAGAAAACA